Molecule: long non-coding RNA, 483 nt
Filed under: Citrus x clementina
Lineage: Eukaryota; Viridiplantae; Streptophyta; Magnoliopsida; Sapindales; Rutaceae
Description: Citrus clementina (C. clementina) long non-coding RNA (CCLE_LNC003681)
Source: RNAcentral
UGGCAUUCCAGUCGUAGAGGGACAACAAAAGAAAAUUGUGGGAAAUGUAAGCAUAAGAGAUAUCAGACACUUGCUGCUCAAACCAGAACUCUUCUCCAAUUUCAGGUAGGAUGCAAUGUUCAAACCUGUAUGCAAACAUCCAAACUGAAUUAUGAUCAGUCUCUGUCUAUGAGCAAUUACAAACUGCUUUGUCCAAAUAAGAACAAGAAUGAAUUACUGAAGUGAAGUAAAAAUGAGAACAAUGAGGUUAAACUAUUAAUGAGACUAGAAUCUAAUGAAUUGUUACAUACAGCAAAUUAUUGAGACGCAUGAAUCAAUGCAUUUUAAUUGAUCAUUACCUAAGCCAUUUUUGUAGAGCAUAUGCCAUUGAAGACCUGAUGGUGCAAUCAAGUUCCUAUCAUAAUUUUUGUUUCACUUUCAGGCAGCUUACAGUCAGAGAUUUCAUGAAUGCUGUGGUACCAACCACCCCAGAUUCUGGGAAAG